This 5718-nucleotide long non-coding RNA is filed under the name Brassica napus (rape). RNAcentral describes it as "long non-coding RNA (BNAP_LNC015228)". Lineage: Eukaryota; Viridiplantae; Streptophyta; Magnoliopsida; Brassicales; Brassicaceae. The record is from RNAcentral.
UGUGUAUGUGGAUGAUAUCAUCAUCACAGGCAGUGAUAAGGAAGGUAUUAAGGCUACAAAGGAGUAUCUCAAGGCAAGCUUUGAAAUUAAAGACUUGGGGGAAAUGAAGUAUUUUCUUGGGAUUGAGAUAUGCAGAUCAAAGGAAGGAUUGUUUAUGUCCCAAAGGAAGUAUGUGAUUGAUCUCUUGAAGGGAGCAGAUGCAUAUGGAGGAAAGACAGCCAAGAUGCCAAUGGAGGAUGGUUACAAGGUUCCACGUGAGGGGGAGAUUGAGGAUAGCAAGCCGUUCCAUGAUCCUAAGCUAUAUAGGAAGCUGGUGGGGAAAUUGAUUUAUCUUACCAUUACUAGACCUGAUGUGUGUUUUGCGGUGAAUCAAGUCAGUCAACACAUGCAAGUUCCUAAGGAGCACCAUUGGCGGAUGAUGGAAAGGAUCUUGAUGUAUCUGAAUGGAACUACUGGUCUUGGAGUAUGGAUGGGAUGUAACAAGAGUACUGAGGUUGUAGGCUACUGUGAUGCAGAUUGGGCUGGAGACCGAGCAGACAGAAGAUCAACCACAGGCUAUUGUACAUUCAUUGGUGGUAACUUAGUCACUUGGAAGAGUAAGAAACAGAAGGUAGUGUCUUGCUCCAGUGCAGAGGCCGAGUAUAGAGCAAUGCUGAAGCUUACAAAUGAGCUAGUGUGGAUAAAAGGGAUUUUGAAGCAUCUAGAGAUUAUUCAAGCAACGCCAAUGACAAUGCAUUGUGAUAAUCAAGCAGCUAUCCACAUUGCAUCUAAUUCUGUGUUCCAUGAGAGAACAAAGCACAUUGAGGUUGAUUGUCACAAGGUGAGGCAGAUGAUGAUUCUUGGAGUGAUUCUACCUUGUUAUACUCGGAGUGAGGAUCAGUUAGCAGAUGUGUUCACAAAGGCAGCAAGGCAAAAGACAAUGGAGUCCAUACACAUCAGGUUAGGACUCAUUGAUCUCUCGCCUAAGGACUAGUCUAUACACUCUCCUGAUCAUGUGAUCUCUACUCUUUCCUCAUUAAGGUUUUGUCCCAAUGGGUUGUCCUUAAUGAGGUUUUAAUGAGGGAGAUCUCAUGGUUCUUCCAAGCUUGACUUGUUUCACAUGGUCAAGCUUGAGGGGGAGUGUUGAGAUAAGAGAAUAAAGUGUUGAGAUGAGGAGAUGAAGAGUUGAUACAUGGAUAGAGGAAGGGAUUUGGAGCAGGUAGUAACUUUGGAGAUUUACCACAGUAACUUUAAUGUUACUGUGGUAACUAAGUUAAAAGACUUGGGAAGUUACCCUGCAUCCAUUUGGAGAGUGUAACACGACAGGAGGAGUCUGGAUAAGCAAGGAGGAGUUUGGAUAAGGUCUGGUCAAGGGAAGAGAGCUUUAGACAGGCUGGCACCAGCUGGAAAGCUAAAGCAAGAUACCCAAGCAUGUGAGGAACCUUAUUGGCUGGUUUGAAUAAGGCAUCUUUGACUACACAUGCUUCUUAUCCUAACUAGACUGAACCUGGACGAAAAUAUGUAUCUCUAAUCUAUAUAUGUUGUAAACUCUCUCAUUAAUCAAGCUAAUGGAGUUUUGAGUCUCUCUCUCUCUCUUGUUCUUAAUCUCCAAUCUCUUUAAUUCUCAGAUUAAACUUAAUCACUCUUUAAAUCACUAAAUCUAUUAUGGUAUCAGAGCCAGGUUCCUUUAAAAGGAGAGAGUGAUUUCGUGGUUCCAAAUGUUCUUGAGUGUUCUUGAGUGUUCUUGAGAGUUCUUGAGAUUUUUCAAGAGCUAGAUCCUUUAAAAGUCAAGUUUGUGUCUGUUGGUGUUUCUUUUGGAGAGUCAGCUUCAAGGGAGUCUCUUUAGGUGUUUGACAAGGUCAGAAGAGGGGUCUAGCUUGUGGUUAAGAUUGGCGUGUGAGAUUAUGGAGCUGCUUCAAUCUGGUACAACAAGGAGUGAAGAGAAGAAAGAGAGAGGGAAUGAGUGGGGGUGGUUCUCACAGAUGAAAACAACUCUGAAAAGUUGUGGAGUUUGGAGAAACCAUGAGAAGGAAGAGUCUUUGAAGGGUAAAGCUGCUGUGAAAGAUCAGACAGCAAGAAAAACAAGUGGAGAUUGCUUCAGUCUUGAAGACAGUACACUGCUUGAGAAGAUUGAAGAUGUUUAUGAGGACAAGAUCAGUCUUAGGAGAGUGUAUGAAGUCAACCAGGUGAUUAGUGAAGUUAAACCAGGAAGAGAAGGGUUUAAUAACCAUGUGAGGAAGCUACAACAUUUGUGGGUUGAACUACAAGGGUUGAGAUCUCAUGUGGAUGGGGAUACUACACAAGAGCAAGCGACGGUGCUGAAGCUCUUGGCGAGUAUGGAGUCAUCAUAUGGGUGGCUGGUGGAGAUGGUUCUAAGAAGGGAACAGCUUCCGGAAAUGGAAGAGGUCUGUGUGCUUAUAAGAAGGGCGUAUGGGAUAAUGAGAGAUGAUGAGAGGCUAACCAUGAGUAGGAGUGAGAGCUCAUGGAAGCCAACUGGGAGUAGGAGUGAGAGCUUCCAGAAGCUAACCAUGAGUAGGAGUGAGAGCUCAUGGAAGCCAACUGGGAGUAGGAGUGAGAGCUUCCAGAAGCUAACCAUGAGUAGGAGUGAGAGCUCAUGGAGGCUAACCGGGAGUAGGAGUGAGGGCUUCCGGAAGAGGAGGAGGUGCAGAAUGCUAUCCAAAGCCUCUAUCAACAUAGGAAAGGGUAGAAAGAGAGUUGUGGGAGAGUGUUCUUACUCAGCCUACAUGGGGAAAUCAGUAGAAGACAGUGGGGUGUUAAAAGAGCAGGAGAAAGGGAGUAGAGCUGAUGAUCGCAUCACCAGGAAAGAAUGGAGAGUGUUCAUGGAACAAGUACAAGCCUUAGCAGCAAGCAGGAAGCAGGCUAUACAAUCCGGAACUUCUAAACCAAUUGUGAUUGAUUCUGGAGCAAGUCAUCAUAUGAUCAGUGAUAGGAGACUUAUAAGUGAGAUCAAGGCUGCAACAGGGAGUGUUAUGAUAGCUAAUGGUGCCAUGAUCCCAAUAGAAGGAGUGGGAAAGCUAAAACUGUUUGAGAAGGACACAACUGCCUUCUACAUGCCUCAGUUCACUUCAAAUCUAUUAUCUGGGAAGAAAGCUACCAUUGAUCUUGAUUGUCAAGUAGUAUUCAGACCUGAUAAAGUGGAGUUUCAAGAUUUGAAGACUGGGAGAGUCAUUGGCAGAGGAGACAGCAAGAAUCAGCUAUAUCACCUCAACUUGGCUAAGACCUCUAAUCCCUUUGAUUCUAUUUGCUUGAGUAGUACUGCUGAGAAGAUUGAUAGUAUUACUUGGCAUGCUAGAUUAGGACAUCCUCAUGCUCGUGCCAUUGAAUUGAUAAUCCCUAAUAUGUCAUUCAAUCACUUGAAUUGUGAGGCAUGCAUAUUAGGAAAGCAUUGUAGGACUGUUUUUCCAACAUCUGAGACUACUUAUGAGCAUUGCUUUGAUCUAGUUCACUCGGAUGUGUGGACCGCUCCAUGCAUGUCUAGAGACUGCCAUAAAUACUUUGUGACAUUCAUUGAUGAGAAGUCUAAGUAUACGUGGCUCACAUUGCUUCCAUCUAAAGAUAGGGUGCUAGAAGCUUUUAUGAACUUCCAAGCAUAUGUAUCUAAUCAAUACAAUGCCACUGUGAAGGUACUGAGAUCAGACAACGGAGGUGAAUACAUCAGCAAUGCCUUUAAGAGUCAUCUAGCCAAGCAUGGGAUUGUGCAUCAGACCAGUUGUCCCUACACACCACAGCAGAAUGGUGUAGCUGAGAGGAAGAAUAGGCACUUGAUGGAGGUUGCUAGGUCGAUGAUGUUUCAUGAAAAUGUCCAAAAACGUUUUUGGGGAGAUGCUGUACAGACUGCUUGCUAUCUCAUCAACCGAGUCCCAACCAAGAUACUGAAGAAUCUGUCCCCAUUUGAGGUGCUGAAUAAGAGCAAGCCAUUUAUUGAUCACCUACGAGUAUUUGGAUGUGUAUGCUAUGUCAUGACCCCAGGAGAACAGAGAAACAAGCUGGAGGCAAAGAGUACUAAGGCUAUGUUCAUUGGAUACUCUAUCACUCAGAAGGGAUACAAGUGCUAUGAUCCUGAAGCAAGGAGAGUGAUGGUAUCUAGAGAAGUGAAGUUUAUUGAAUCAAAAGGGUAUUAUGAAGAAAAGGAGUGGGAAAAUCUGAAGGAUUUGUCUCAAGCUCCAUCUGAUAGAGCAACAACACUGAGGGUGAUGUUGGAGAAGCUAGGGAUAGGGUUAUCCCAGGAUCAGGAAUCUGGAAGAAGAGAGUCUUCCAAUUCGACUAGUGAAGCUGAAAGAGCAACUCCUCUUGAUCAUGAGAGGGGGAAUGGAACUGAAUCUCAUGAGCAAGUGCAAAAUCAAGAAGAUUCAGGCCAGCAUAAUCAAGAGGUGACACAGGAAGUAGAGACUGGUGCUCAGUCUAGUGGAGAUGGGCAAAGAGAGUCUACUGGCUCAGAUGAGAGUGGAGAGUGGGAAGGAGAUCCUAAUGGUUCAAAUGAGAGUGGUGCUCAAUCAAGUGAAGAUGGGCAAGAGCCACAAGAAGAACAAGUUCAGGAGCUAAGGAGGAGCACAAGGGUGAAGAGAGAUGCUUCCAACUGGGUAAACACGAGAGUGUACUACAAUGCCCAGGCUGUGGAGCAUCCUUCUCAAGCCAUGUGUUCCUUUGCAGAGUUUCCAGACGAGCAUACAGCCUUCACAGUAAGCUUGGAUGAGAGCUAUAUUCCAAGGACAUAUGAAGAAGCUAUGGCUUUAAAGGAGUGGAGAGAUUCAGUUGCUGAUGAGUCCGGAGCCAUGAUUAAGAAUGAAACAUGGUAUGAGAGUGAGCUGCCUAAAGGGAAGAAGGCAGUGACUAGUAAAUGGGUGUUCACAAUCAAGUUUCAUCCUGAUGGAAGAAUAGAGAGGCGCAAGUCUAGGUUGGUGGCAAGAGGAUUUACUCAGACAUAUGGUGAGGACUAUGUUGAGACCUUUGCUCCUGUGGCUAAACUUCAUACUAUCAGGAUUGUAUUAUCUUUAGCUGUGAAUCUUGAGUGGGAUUUGUGGCAAAUGGAUGUGAAGAAUGCAUUCCUUCAAGGAGAGUUAGAAGAUGAAGUAUACAUGCAUCCACCACCAGGUCUUGAACAUCUAGUAAAGAAGGGUAAUGUGUUGAGGUUGAGGAAAGCUAUCUAUGGUCUCAAGCAGUCUCCAAGGGCAUGGUACAACAAGUUGAGUACUACACUGAAUGGGAGAGGGUUCAGAAAGUCAGAAUUGGAUCACACUCUCUUUACCCUAACCACCUCAUCUGGUAUUGUGGUAUUGCUUGUGUAUGUGGAUGAUAUCAUCAUCACAGGCAGUGAUAAGGAAGGUAUUAAGGCUACAAAGGAGUAUCUCAAGGCAAGCUUUGAAAUUAAAGACUUGGGGGAAAUGAAGUAUUUUCUUGGGAUUGAGAUAUGCAGAUCAAAGGAAGGAUUGUUUAUGUCCCAAAGGAAGUAUGUGAUUGAUCUCUUGAAGGGAGCAGAUGCAUAUGGAGGAAAGACAGCCAAGAUGCCAAUGGAGGAUGGUUACAAGGUUCCACGUGAGGGGGAGAUUGAGGAUAGCAAGCCGUUCCAUGAUCCUAAGCUAUAUAGGAAGCUGGUGGGGAAAUUGAUUUAUCUUACCAUUACUAGACCUGAUGUGUGUUUUGCGGUGAAUCAAGUCAGUCAACACAUGCAAGUUCCUAAGGAGCACCAUUGGCGGAUGAUGGAAAGGAUCUUGAUGUAUC